AUACGGAGGGUGCAAGCGUUAUUCGGAAUCACUGGGCGUAAAGGGUGCGUAGGCGGUUUGAUAAGUCUGAUGUGAAAUCCUAUGGCUCAACCAUAGAACUGCAUUGGAAACUGUCAGACUAGAAUACUGAAGGGGCAGAUGGAAUUAGUGGUGUAGGGGUAAAAUCCGUAGAUAUCUCUAGGAAUACCGAAAGCGAAAGCGAUCUGCUGGGAAGUUAUUGACGCUGAGGCACGAAAGCGUGGGGAGCAAACGGGAUUAGAAACCCUAGUAGUCC
RNAcentral lists this ribosomal RNA (274 nucleotides) under uncultured bacterium. RNAcentral's name for it is "partial 16S ribosomal RNA". It matches the Rfam family "Bacterial small subunit ribosomal RNA", at positions 523 to 796 of the family's 1533-position model. The record is from RNAcentral.